Molecule: unclassified non-coding RNA, 64 nt
Filed under: Kaistella jeonii
Lineage: Bacteria; Pseudomonadati; Bacteroidota; Flavobacteriia; Flavobacteriales; Weeksellaceae
Description: Chryseobacterium jeonii Flavo-1 RNA
Source: RNAcentral
AUUGCGACCCGACUUGAGUGGAUCCCGAUUUAAAAUCGGGAUGGAACGGAAGGCGGGAAAAGUC